UUCAUCCCAGAAGACUCUUAUCAAUAGUAAGUCAGGGCUCUUAUUCAGGAAAGUGAAACCAAGGAUGCUAAGAUAGCUAGGCUAAAGGAUCCUGUGACAGAGGUGGAAUAUGAGAGAAAUGCUCUAAGAACUGAGCUUGUCAAGGAAAAGGAGAAAGAAUGAUUGAAUUCUUCAUAAUAUGUUGAAUCUUCUACACCAACCCUCUAGCACCCCCAAGCCUUAGGAAUUCUAGCCUCUAUCUCCUGAACAUCUCUAGUACCUUCAG
RNAcentral lists this long non-coding RNA (265 nucleotides) under Nicotiana benthamiana. Its description in RNAcentral is "long non-coding RNA (NBEN_LNC042267)". Lineage: Eukaryota; Viridiplantae; Streptophyta; Magnoliopsida; Solanales; Solanaceae. The record is from RNAcentral.